AUCAACUUUCGAUGGUAGGAUAGAGGCCUACCAUGGUGGUAACGGGUAACGGGGUGUUAGGGCACGACACCGGAGAGGGAGCCUGAGAAACGGCUACCACAUCCAAGGAUGGCAGCAGGCGCGCAAAUUACCCAAUCCCGACACGGGGAGGUAGUGACAAUAAAUAACAAUACGGGGUUCUUUCGGAUUUCGUAAUUGGAAUGAGUACAAUUUAAAUCUCUUAACGAGGAACAAUUGGAGGGCAAGUCUGGUGCCAGCAGCCGCGGUAAUUCCAGCUCCAAUAGCGUAUAUUAAAGUUGUUGCAGUUAAAAAGCUCGUAGUUGAAUUUCGGGAUCACCAGGUUGGUCGUGCCUUCGGUAUGUACUUGCUUCGGUGGUCCCUCCUUCUUGAAGAACCGUAAUGCCAUUAAUUUGUUGUUGCGGGGAAACAGGACUGUUACUUUGAAAAAAUUAGAGUGCUUAAAGCAGGCAAUCGCUUGAAUACAUUAGCAUGGAAUAAUGAAAUAGGACGUUCGACCCUAUUUUGUUGGUUUCUAGGAUUGACGUAAUGAUUAAUAGGGAUAGUUGGGGGCAUUAGUAUUCAAUUGUCAGAGGUGAAAUUCUUGGAUUUAUUGAAGACUAACUACUGCGAAAGCAUUUGCCAAGGAUGUUUUCAUUAAUCAGGAACGAAAGUUAGGGGAUCGAAGACGAUCAGAUACCGUCGUAGUCUUAACCAUAAACUAUGCCGACUAGGGAUCGGAUGAUGUUAAUUUUUUAAUGACUCAUUCGGCGCCUUACGGGAAACCAAAGUGUUUGGGUUC
RNAcentral lists this ribosomal RNA (799 nucleotides) under uncultured Glomeromycotina. RNAcentral's name for it is "SSU rRNA". It matches the Rfam family "Eukaryotic small subunit ribosomal RNA", at positions 314 to 1114 of the family's 1831-position model. Lineage: Eukaryota; Fungi; Glomeromycota. The record is from RNAcentral.